RNAcentral lists this ribosomal RNA (253 nucleotides) under uncultured bacterium. RNAcentral's name for it is "partial 16S ribosomal RNA". It matches the Rfam family "Bacterial small subunit ribosomal RNA", at positions 524 to 776 of the family's 1533-position model. The record is from RNAcentral.
GACGGAGGAUGCAAGCGUUAUCCGGAAUUAUUGGGCGUAAAGCGUCCGCAGGUGGUUUAUCAAGUCUGUUGUUAAAGCGCAGGGCUCAACCUUGUAUAGGCAAUGGAAACUGAAAGACUAGAGUUCGGUAGGGGUAGAGGGAAUUCCCGGUGUAGCGGUGAAAUGCGUAGAUAUCGGGAAGAACACCAGUGGCGAAAGCGCUCUACUGGGCCUGAACUGACACUGAGGGACGAAAGCUAGGGGAGCGAAAGGG